This 30-nucleotide non-coding RNA is filed under the name Homo sapiens (human). Lineage: Eukaryota; Metazoa; Chordata; Mammalia; Primates; Hominidae. The record is from RNAcentral.
UAACCUACUCUGGCUUCCAAAGCAUCAGAA